GAAGCAGAGUAGAGCCCCAGACUAAGGUCUGUGUUUGAGAGGCUUUGGAAGUAAUCUCUGGGGUUUGGAUUAUUUUCACAAGGGUUAUGACGUUUUAUUCAAGUUUGUUGCUCCAUUUGCACCUCUGCAAUAAAAGCAAAAUGACAACCAGUACAUAAGGGGUUAACUUGACAAAGUAGACUUCCUUGUGUUGAUUUUUAAAAGGACUGUGGGUUGUAUACAAACUAUUGCAAACACUUGUGCAAAUCUGUCUUGAUAUAAAGGAAAAGCAAAAUCUGUAUAACAUUAUUACUACUUGAAUGCCUCUGUGACUGAUUUUUUUUUUUCAUUUUAAAUAUAAACUUUUUUGUGAAAAGUAUGCUCAAUGUUUUUUUUCCCUUUCCCCAUUCCCUUGUAAAUACAUUUCGUUCUAUGUGACUUGGUUUGGAAAUAGUUAACUGGUACUGUAAUUUGCAUUAAAUAAAAAGUAGGUUAGCCUGGAAAUGAAAUUAAAAUUCACAAGUGUGUGGUCUUUAUUUCAGUACCCAACCUUAUUUCCUUCACCCUAUCUAUUUUGCCAAUGCAUUAUGUAGUCACAUCACCACUUCAUUCCUCCAAUUAGAGAAACACGAAGCUGUUAACAAAAGUCAAGAUAUGAACACUAGUUCUCGUUCUCUUAAAUGAUCUUAUUCCAUUGUAUAGCCCCAAGAGGUGCAGCUUCCAUCUUGGAAACCUUUGGAGUUGAUAUCGAGGAAGCUAUGCAAACAUUGCUUUGAAUAGAAAGAAUACAAGCCUGAAAGGGACAAAUUUUUAAAAAUGUGUAUAAGCUUCUGUCUUUGAUUCCUGUGUUCAUGGUCUGGUGUAGAAAAAGAAACAUUUUUUUAGGGCUGGCUCACUCCGUCAGGCCUAAUCUAAAGGCUAGAUAUAAAGUCAUGUGACUGCUGCUUCAAUAAAAACAAAUUUAUAUUGGAUAAA
RNAcentral lists this long non-coding RNA (954 nucleotides) under Bos taurus (domestic cattle). RNAcentral describes it as "long non-coding RNA NONBTAT000579". The record is from RNAcentral. Lineage: Eukaryota; Metazoa; Chordata; Mammalia; Artiodactyla; Bovidae.